This 506-nucleotide ribosomal RNA is filed under the name uncultured bacterium. Its description in RNAcentral is "partial 16S ribosomal RNA". It matches the Rfam family "Bacterial small subunit ribosomal RNA", at positions 29 to 523 of the family's 1533-position model. The record is from RNAcentral.
AGUGAACGCUGGCGAUAGGCCUAACACAUGCAAGUCGAACGGCAGCACAGGAGAGCUUGCUCUCUGGGUGGCGAGUGGCGGACGGGUGAGGAAUACAUCGGAAUCUACUUUUUCGUGGGGGAUAACGUAGGGAAACUUACGCUAAUACCGCAUACGACCUACGGGUGAAAGCAGGGGAUCUUCGGACCUUGCGCGAUUGAAUGAGCCGAUGUCGGAUUAGCUAGUUGGCGGGGUAAAGGCCCACCAAGGCGACGAUCCGUAGCUGGUCUGAGAGGAUGAUCAGCCCCACUGGAACUGGGACACGGUCCAGACUCCUACGGGAGGCAGCAGUGGGGAAUAUUGGACAAUGGGCGCAAGCCUGAUCCAGCCAUACCGCGUGGGUGAAGAAGGCCUUCGGGUUGUAAAGCCCUUUUGUUGGGAAAGAAAUCCAGCUGGUUAAUACCCGGUUGGGAUGACGGUACCCAAAGAAUAAGCACCGGCUAACUUCGUGCCAGCAGCCGCAGUAA